Prosopis cineraria is the source of this 553-nucleotide long non-coding RNA. RefSeq lists it as uncharacterized. Lineage: Eukaryota; Viridiplantae; Streptophyta; Magnoliopsida; Fabales; Fabaceae. The transcript has 3 exons. The record is from RefSeq and is a predicted model, not a curated record.
GGAGGGGGUGUGUGCAUUAGGAAGCAUGAGAGGCUAAGAUGCAAUUUAGAGAAAAUUGCAACUUUUGGCCCAAAGGUUUGAAUAAUUAAAUUCAAACCUAUAGUUUUUUUUAAUAUAAUUUUGGGACUCACAAUCCCAUUUUUAUAUUAUUUUUCUCUCUUCCUCUCACGUUGCUCGGCGUUUUCUCGCAAGGGGGGAUUAUUUUCUUUUUCUUCAGAUUAUAUUGACAAAGAUAGUGGUGAAAAAGGAGUUGUGAAGGGGAACUUGUUAUUCAAGACACAAGGAGCGAAUCCGGCCGAGAAAGCACCAGAGGUGUAAUUAUGGUGUAUGAGACACCAUCUUUUACGUUGCCUCUUAUUUUGGAUUAUACAAUGUAUCUUGUGCCAACUUAGGACAUAUCUUGUCUAUGGAGCAUGUAAACUCUAAUCCUUUUUAUUAAAUGCAUUUAUAUGUCCAAGAGGAUUAUGUCUGUCCCUUUUGAUUCAUGACCUAAUUUGAAUAACAUGCUAUGAGGAUCAUGUCUGUCCCUCAUGGUUCUAAUUGCUUUUUGAGA